CUAGGACACCUCUCCAGGAGAAAAUGCUCCCAAACAGGGCCAGUAGCCCACUGGGAACAGACAGAGCCACUUGAGAAAUGACUGUGUGCUCUGCCAGGAGAGUUCAGUUGGGAUAAUUGCACCAGAUCGUCAGAGAACAAUAGGAGUGGUAAGCACAGAUUAAACCACCACUGUUUCUACUGUACAUCCCCUCCCCAGCUGGCAGAGCAGAGUGGGAUGUCUCCAGCUGGUUGUCAAGGGAAGAACCUGAACUGUGUGGAACAAAGGAGGAUCUGCUUGUCUCAACAGAAAAUGGCAGGACCUGCAUUAAGCACUUUACUGUCCUGCAAGGAAGGCUGGAUUUACCUCAAGCUAAAGCACAGCUCAGCCAUUCAAUUACAUACCAGAAACAGUCAGAGGCCUGAAGAAC
This 409-nucleotide long non-coding RNA is filed under the name Cyanistes caeruleus (blue tit). RNAcentral describes it as "lncRNA (ENSCCEG00000014577.1)". The record is from RNAcentral. Lineage: Eukaryota; Metazoa; Chordata; Aves; Passeriformes; Paridae.